UGGGGAAUUUUGGACAAUGGGCGAAAGCCUGAUCCAGCGAUGCCGCGUGUGUGAAGAAGGCCUUCGGGUUGUAAAGCACUUUUGUCCGGGAAAGAAAUCCUUGGCUCUAAUACAGUCGGGGGAUGACGGUACCGGAAGAAUAAGCACCGGCUAACUACGUGCCAGCAGCCGCGGUAAUACGUAGGGUGCAAGCGUUAAUCGGAAUUACUGGGCGUAAAGCGUGCGCAGGCGGUUUGCUAAGACCGAUGUGAAAUCCCCGGGCUCAACCUGGGAACUGCAUUGGUGACUGGCAGGCUAGAGUAUGGCAGAGGGGGGUAGAAUUCCACGUGUAGCAGUGAAAUGCGUAGAGAUGUGGAGGAAUACCGAUGGCGAAGGCAGCCCCCUGGGCCAAAUACUGACGCUCAUGCACGAAAGCGUGGGGAGCAAACAGGAUUAGAUACCCUGGUAGUCCGCGCCCUAAACGAUGUCAACUAGUUGUUGGGGAUUCAUUUCCUUAGUAACGUAGCUAACGCGUGAAGUUGACCGCCUGGGGAGUACGGUCGCAAGAUUAAAACUCAAAGGAAUUGACGGGGU
RNAcentral lists this ribosomal RNA (573 nucleotides) under uncultured bacterium. RNAcentral describes it as "partial 16S ribosomal RNA". It matches the Rfam family "Bacterial small subunit ribosomal RNA", at positions 355 to 919 of the family's 1533-position model. The record is from RNAcentral.